Molecule: ribosomal RNA, 504 nt
Filed under: uncultured Aspergillus
Lineage: Eukaryota; Fungi; Ascomycota; Eurotiomycetes; Eurotiales; Aspergillaceae
Description: SSU rRNA
Rfam family: Eukaryotic small subunit ribosomal RNA
Source: RNAcentral
AUUGGAGGGCAAGUCUGGUGCCAGCAGCCGCGGUAAUUCCAGCUCCAAUAGCGUAUAUUAAAGUUGUUGCAGUUAAAAAGCACGUAGUUGAACCUUGGGUCUGGCUGACCGGUCCGCCUCACCGCGAGUACUGGUUCGGCUGGACCUUUCCUUCUGGGGAACCUCAUGGCCUUCACUGGUUGUGGGGGGAACCAGGACUUUUACUGUGAAAAAAUUAGAGUGUUCAAAGCAGGCCUUUGCUCGAAUACAUUAGCAUGGAAUAAUAGAAUAGGACGUGCGGUUCUAUUUUGUUGGUUUCUAGGACCGCCGUAAUGAUUAAUAGGGAUAGUCGGGGGCGUCAGUAUUCAGCUGUCAGAGGUGAAAUUCUUGGAUUUGCUGAAGACUAACUACUGCGAAAGCAUUCGCCAAGGAUGUUUUCAUUAAUCAGGGAACGAAAGUUAGGGGAUCGAAGACGAUCAGAUACCGUCGUAGUCUUAACCAUAAACUAUGCCGACUAGGGAUCGG